This 149-nucleotide microRNA precursor is filed under the name Vombatus ursinus (common wombat). RNAcentral describes it as "miRNA (ENSVURG00010022896.1)". The stretch from base 1 to 57 matches the Rfam family "mir-26 microRNA precursor family", at positions 17 to 74 of the family's 81-position model. Lineage: Eukaryota; Metazoa; Chordata; Mammalia; Diprotodontia; Vombatidae. The record is from RNAcentral.
AUCCAGGAUAGGCUGUGUCCAGCUGCUGGCCUAUUCUUGAUUACUUGUUUCUGGAGGCAGCUGACUGCACCCUACCAGAAGCAGACACUCCCAGGACACACCCCGAACCCUGCCCACCAUGUUUCCAUUUUCUACCUUGGGCCAUGGAA